This 1311-nucleotide long non-coding RNA is filed under the name Androctonus crassicauda. Lineage: Eukaryota; Metazoa; Arthropoda; Arachnida; Scorpiones; Buthidae. The record is from RNAcentral.
AAUAAAUCAAAACAUAAAUACAAAUUAUUGUAAUUUGUUAUUGUGAAAUUCAUAAAACAGUUGUUUGUAAAAUGGAUGAAGUUUAGAUCUAAAAAUUUCACAAAACAUUUCUUGAAUAUUUUUAUAAAUAAUUCCACAUCAUGUUGCAUUUUGUUAACACUAAGAUGACUGAGACAAUAUGGCAUAUGGGGUUGGCAAUAGCAUGAAAUCCAAAUUGAUAUGGCAUAUACGAUGUUUAAAAUUUAUCUACUGAUCAUUACUAAACAACCAUACGGGAUUAAUCAUCGUAAUCCAAACGUUUAUUCACCAGGGGGAGUUAGUGCUAUUCGGCUUAUACGUUUAUCUACUGAGUUUCCCAUGCAAAAUACAAGAGUGAUCAGUCUGAUCUUUUUUUGUAAGUUCUUGUUAUAUUGCAGUGUAACUCUUAUUUCUUGUAUCAAAAUCUUAAAUUUUGAUUGAUUUCUCGUACAAUAUGGCAAAAAUUAAGUAAAAUUUUAAUUUAUAUUUUAAAAAUGUUUGUUGGUUAGUAAAAAAAAAUGAUAGUGUAUGGCUAGUAACUGUUACUUGGAAUCUAACAUCUUAAGAUUUUUUAAAAUUCCAAAUUUCUGUAAUUAAGCAAUUUAUAUUUAUAUUAACAAAGAAAAUAUAUUGGCUGCACGAGAUGUGGUUUCAGGUGGAUUUUAUUAAUAUAAUAAACGUGAGUGUUGGGAUAAAAUAUGUGAAUAUUAACAGUCAAAUGCUGGAAAUCAGAGCUAAUAUUAUAACAAAUACAUAGUGGAAGGAGUAAAAUUUGUAAUUUUAUGCUCUUAUUUUGUUUUCUGUUCAUUUAUUGUGCUUUUUAUGAAAACUUUUAAUAAUUAUUAUUUUAAUCUUUGUAGAAAUAUCAUGCUAAUUAUAAUGUACUAAAUUUCUAGAAAGAUGAUGAUUUUCAAAUUAAAUUUCUUGAAUAUAACCGUCGUAAAUUACAACUGUGUUAUAGUUCUGAAGAUAUAAUGGUCCUCUGCAUCACAGGUCAGAAGGGAUAUCAAUAUACUACAUAUAAAAAUGUGUGUGUUCUAAGAUUUCCUCAAUACAAAGAUCACAUAUUUAUUAGAAAGCUUUUAAAUGUGUAAGAUAACCACAAAAUAUGAUAAAAAUGUUAAUUCUUUAUUGAGUAAGGAUUAAGAUUAAUUUUGUUAAAUUACAUUUAUUGUAUAGUUCAGUAUUUGAAGUUCUCUUUUAUUAAUUUUAAAUGGAUGAUGAUUAUUAGUUCCAGGACCUCAAAAUGUACAACCAAAUAAUGGAGAUUUCAACUUAUUGUUUUUUCUCAUG